RNAcentral lists this unclassified non-coding RNA (232 nucleotides) under Hevea brasiliensis (rubber tree). Lineage: Eukaryota; Viridiplantae; Streptophyta; Magnoliopsida; Malpighiales; Euphorbiaceae. The record is from RNAcentral.
GUUAUUUAAAGGUAAUGGCUGUUACUAACCGUUCUGGAACGGUCGUAAUGGCUGUUACCGUUCCAACUAAGAAUUCUUCAAUUUUUUUGGCCUCUUUCACGUGAAAUGCUAAAAAACUAUUUCUUAACUUUUUUUGACCUCUUUCAUGUGAAAUGCUAAAAAACUAUUUUGACUAUUUUAUUUUAGUACCUUUUCAUUCUCUCUAGGGAACUAAGCCAUUUUCUCUCAACUU